CCUACGGGAGGCAGCAGUGGGGAAUAUUGGACAAUGGGGGGAACCCUGAUCCAGCCAUGCCGCGUGUGUGAAGAAGGCCCUCGGGGUGUAAAGCACUUUCAGUGAGGAAGAACGCCUGGUGGUUAAUACCCAUCAGGAAAGACAUCACUCACAGAAGAAGCACCGGCUAACUCCGUGCCAGCAGCCGCGGUAAUACGGAGGGUGCGAGCGUUAAUCGGAAUUACUGGGCGUAAAGCGCGCGUAGGUGGCUUGAUAAGCCGGUUGUGAAAGCCCCGGGCUCAACCUGGGAACGGCAUCCGGAACUGUCAAGCUAGAGUGCAGGAGAGGAAGGUAGAAUUCCCGGUGUAGCGGUGAAAUGCGUAGAGAUCGGGAGGAAUACCAGUGGCGAAGGCGGCCUUCUGGACUGACACUGACACUGAGGUGCGAAAGCGUGGGUAGCAAACAGGAUUAGAUACCCGGGUAGUC
This 465-nucleotide ribosomal RNA is filed under the name Vreelandella stevensii. Its description in RNAcentral is "partial 16S ribosomal RNA". It matches the Rfam family "Bacterial small subunit ribosomal RNA", at positions 338 to 795 of the family's 1533-position model. The record is from RNAcentral. Lineage: Bacteria; Pseudomonadati; Pseudomonadota; Gammaproteobacteria; Oceanospirillales; Halomonadaceae.